Non-coding RNA from Arachis ipaensis, 3335 nucleotides. The record is from RefSeq and is a predicted model, not a curated record. Lineage: Eukaryota; Viridiplantae; Streptophyta; Magnoliopsida; Fabales; Fabaceae.
GAGGUUGGGCCUUAAAGCGCUAGAAAGGGCAGCGAAUACACCGACCCAGCCAGAAAUGAGAGAUAGAUCAUCGAUCUAUGCAUAGAAAAGGGCAUCCCCUUUCAAUCUCUCUCUCUCUCGGAAUAGCUUCACAAGAUCCCAGCCCCUUCACUGGCUGCUUUGGUGCUUCCUUUUGAUUUUGGUUUUUUGUGAAUUCGCAUAGAAAAUAUUUGAGCUUUUUAGGGGGUUUUCACAUCAUGUUAGGUUCAUUGCCGAUACUGCCUCUCCCUGCUCCUCCUUCUGAUGGAAAUCUCGGUCCUCUCCCUGAGUCUCAGCUCCCUCAGGACGAUAGGGAGGAGGAGAACAAGUCGAAUUCAGCUCCUCCUCCGCCGCCUGCAACGGUUGCUACCCAUACUAGAACUAUAGGAAUUAUACACCCCCCUCCUGACAUUAGAACCAUCGUUGAUAAAACUUCCCAGUUUGUUGCCAAGAAUGGUCCCGAAUUUGAGAAGAGGAUUAUUGCAAAUAACACUGGCAAUGUCAAGUUCAAUUUCCUCAACGCAUCAGAUCCCUAUCAUGCGUAUUAUCAACACCGUUUGGCUGAAUUUCGUGCUCAGAAUCAAUCUUCUGGUGCCCAACCACCUUUGCAGCCUCCUGACUCGUCUGUUCCUGAAUCUGCACCCUCUGCACCGGCCCCUGAUAGCAAUGGCACAGUGGCAGUUGAAAAGCCUGAUAUUUCUGCCCAGUUUAGACCUGUUAAGAAAGUGCUUGAACCCCCUGAAGCCGAGCAGUACACUGUUCGGCUUCCCGAAGGAAUUACAGGUGAAGAGCUGGAUAUCAUAAAGCUUACGGCACAGUUUGUGGCUCGAAAUGGGAAAUCUUUUUUGACAGGAUUAACUAGUAGGGAAGUUAAUAACCCACAGUUCCAUUUCUUGAAACCAACCCACAGCAUGUUUACGUUCUUUACAUCCCUUGCGGAUGCAUAUUCAAAGGUUUUGAUGCCUCCAAAGGGUUUGACAGAGAAGCUGAAGAAGAGUGUUCCUGACAUGACAACUGUCCUUGAGAGGUGUGUGAAUAGGCUAGAAUGGGAGCGUUCACAAGAGCAAGCCAGGCAAAAAGCCGAGGAUGAGAUAGAGCAGGAAAGGAUACAGAUGGCUAUGAUUGAUUGGCAUGACUUUGUGGUGGUUGAAACGAUAGACUUUGUUGAUGAUGAGGAUGAAGAGUUACCUCCUCCAAUGACCAUUGAAGAGGUUAUUAGGAGAAGCAAGGUGUCAGCCUCAGAAGAAGAUAUUGUAGAGCCAGGAAAGGAGGUAGAAAUGGAAAUGGACGAGGAGGAGGCACAGCUUGUUGCAGAGGGCUUGGGAAAAGCUAGUUUAGAAGACAAGGAUGAUGAGAGAAAUGAAGCCAUGGUUACUGAAGAACCUGAGCCACCAAUGAAAAUUGUGAAGAACUGGAAAAGACCAGAGGAGAGGAUUUCUGCAGAAAGAGAUCCAACCAAGUUUGUUGUUUCUCCUAUCACCGGUGAACUGAUUCCUAUUAGUGAAAUGUCAGAACAUAUGCGAAUUUCCCUUAUUGAUCCCAAGUACAAGGAACAGAAAGAAAGGAUGUUUGCCAAAAUUCGAGAGACAACUCUGGCUCAGGAUGAUGAAAUUUCAAGAAACAUUGUCGGACUUGCUAGAACCCGUCCUGAUAUCUUUGGUACAACAGAGGAAGAAGUUUCGAAUGCGGUCAAGGCAGAGAUUGAGAAGAAAAAUGACGAGCAACCUAAGCAAGUUAUAUGGGAUGGUCACACCGGUAGUAUUGGCCGCACUGCAAAUAUAGCCUUGUCUCAGAAUAUGGGUGGUGAGGAUCAAAAUGAUCCAUCUAAUAAUGAAGCCAAGAACCUUCCUGGUCCUGCUGCACCUCCUCCUAGGCCUGGUAUGCCUUCAAUUCGGCCUCUUCCACCACCAGCUGGAUUAGCAUUGAAUCAUCUUCCCCGUUUUCCUCCCAAUGUAGUCCAGUAUUCUGCUCCAAACAGUGGUGGACUUUCUGUUCCUCCGCCUAGGCCACCAGUAAUGUCCAUGAUGCAAUCUAUGCAAUCUAAUCCUAACAUUCGGCCAGCCCCACCUCCUCCUAUGCCAAUGUCUUCUGGGCAGCAGUCGGUUAUGGCUGGUCAACCACCCCCAAUGCCUCCAUCAAUUCCUAUGAAUAGCCAAGGAAUUCCCAUACCUCCACCUCCAGGAUCUCAGUACACUCCUAUACCUGUUCCCCGACCUUUUGUUCCUUUCUCUGUCCCACCAUCAGGUAUGCCUAUGAUGCAUCCACCACCUAUGCCUCAAGGAGUGCCACCACCGCCACCACCACCUGAAGAAGCUCCUCCCCCACUUCCAGAGGAACCAGAGCCAAAGAGGCAGAAGCUUGAUGAUUCUGCACUGAUUCCUGAAGAUCAAUUUCUGGCUCAACAUCCGGGACCUCUCCGGAUCAGUGUGUCUGUUCCAAACCAUGAUGAAGGAAAUCUUAAAGGACAAGUUCUGGAAAUUACAGUGCAAUCUCUGUCUGAAACUGUUGGCAGUCUGAAGGAAAAGAUUGCAGGGGAGAUACAACUCCCUGCUAACAAGCAGAAAUUAAGCGGAAAACCAGGCUUUCUCAAGGAUAAUAUGUCUCUUGCCCAUUACAAUGUUGGUGGAGGAGAAAUACUUACUCUCAGCUUAAGAGAGCGUGGUGGUAGAAAGAGAUGAGCAUACUAGUUGUUGUCAUUUCAAGAAGGUUGUUGUAACCUUAACUCCCUCUUUGAGGAAUAUGGAUCCUCAUAUUAUUGAUAGACUACAUGUUGUUAUCUUAGAAUUUUAUGUUGGAUACAUUAUAUUUGCUGUAUUGUGAGGUUUUUUUUGAAGUUUUUAUUGUUGUCUUAGAAACUGAUGAUAAUUCUGGAAUACAGAUUUUGGCACCUUGGCGCAGGUCUCAAGGGGAAUGGGAAGUAGUGGAGUUCCUUUAUCUAACCUGCUCAAGCUAAACAUUUUGCAUCACUGAUUAUUGUUUACUCUUGCAUUUCAGUUUAUGUGGUUUUUUUGCAAGGUUACUGAUUUAUUUUUAUAUGAAGCUUCUUUGCGGUCGGGGACAGGAAUCAUGAGUGUUUAUUUCUGAAAAUUCUACCUGGACUGUAGGAAGUGCUGUGCAGCUAGGCUGAUAUGUCUUAAUGGGUUCAGAAUGAAGAUGGUUUGGUAUUUUAUAGCAAGGCUCUCGUUCAUGUGUAAUCAAUCUUCCUGGCCUAUGAAUAUUCAGGAUUACUUGAUGCCAAAACUUGAUUAAGAUUUAUCUGGUAGUUAUGUUAUAAUGAGUUCUUUAAAGGGUUAUAUAAACUACUUUUACUGUGUCCA